This 328-nucleotide unclassified non-coding RNA is filed under the name soil metagenome. Its description in RNAcentral is "partial contains 5.8S ribosomal RNA, internal transcribed spacer 2, and large subunit ribosomal RNA". The stretch from base 1 to 120 matches the Rfam family "5.8S ribosomal RNA", at positions 35 to 154 of the family's 154-position model. The record is from RNAcentral.
GAUGAAGAACGUAGCGAAAUGCGAUAAGUAAUGUGAAUUGCAGAAUUCAGUGAAUCAUCGAAUCUUUGAACGCACAUUGCGCCCCUCGGUAUUCCGAGGGGCAUGCCUGUUCGAGCGUCAUUAUAACCCUUCAAGCUCAGCUUGGUGUUGGGGCCUGCUGUAACUGGUAGCCCUUAAAAUCAGUGGCAGUGCUAUUAGGCUCUAAGCGUAGUAAUUCUUCUCGCUAUAGUGUGUAGUGAGCGCUCGCCAGAACCCCAAACUUUUAUAUGAUUGACCUCGGAUCAGGUAGGGAUACCCGCUGAACUUAAGCAUAUCAAUAAGCGGAGGA